CAAAGAGAAAGAUCAUUUUUUACAAAAUAAAUAAAUAAAUAAAAUAAAAUAAGAGGAAGAGAGUAACUUAGAGAAGAAGAAGUGGAAGCAAUUAAAGUUGGUGUGGAUGUAAUCUAGAGCGGAAGCAAAGUAAGCGGCGAUGGCAGUAGUGAGGGAGAGUUGGCGGCGACGGCAAAGGUCGCGGUGAGGGCGGCUGAGGUCGGCCAUUCCCUCUACUUUUGAGGAUAAGAGGGGAGAGGGAAAGAAAGAGAGAGAGAAAGAGGAUGGAUGGAAAUUAUGUUGUGGGUUUUGGGGAAAAAAAAUUGGUUUUGGAAAUUAUGUUGUGGGUUUUGGGGGAAAAUUGAGAUUUUUUUUUCUCUAGACCCAUAAGGCUCGAACAGGGAAAAGUUCUCGUGCGUGAACUCACUGACACGAGGCCCUAGAGUCGCAAUGUUAACAACAGAUGGUUAAAAGAGCCAACGCCCUAUACAUGCUUUAACAAAAAAACGAAGUUAUAGGCUGCUUUUUCUGUAGUGACUCAUUUUAACUU
RNAcentral lists this long non-coding RNA (529 nucleotides) under Ananas comosus (pineapple). RNAcentral describes it as "long non-coding RNA (ACOM_LNC028303)". The record is from RNAcentral. Lineage: Eukaryota; Viridiplantae; Streptophyta; Magnoliopsida; Poales; Bromeliaceae.